RNAcentral lists this ribosomal RNA (497 nucleotides) under uncultured bacterium. RNAcentral describes it as "partial 16S ribosomal RNA". It matches the Rfam family "Bacterial small subunit ribosomal RNA", at positions 28 to 507 of the family's 1533-position model. The record is from RNAcentral.
GAUGAACGCUGGCGGCGUGCCUAAUACAUGCAAGUCGAGCGAACAGAUGAGGAGCUUGCUCCUCUGACGUUAGCGGCGGACGGGUGAGUAACACGUGGAUAACCUACCUAUAAGACUGGGAUAACUUCGGGAAACCGGAGCUAAUACCGGAUAAUAUAUUGAACCGCAUGGUUCAAUAGUGAAAGACGGUUUUGCUGUCACUUAUAGAUGGAUCCGCGCCGCAUUAGCUAGUUGGUAAGGUAACGGCUUACCAAGGCAACGAUGCGUAGCCGACCUGAGAGGGUGAUCGGCCAAACUGGAACUGAGACCAGGUCCAGACUCCUACGGGAGGCAGCAGUAGGGAAUCUUCCGGAAUGGGCGAAAGCCUGACGGAGCAACGCCGCGUGAGUGAUGAAGGUCUUCGGAUCGUAAAACUCUGUUAUUAGGGAAGAACAAAUGUGUAAGUAACUAUGCACGUCUUGACGGUACCUAAUCAGAAAGCCACGGCUAACUACGUG